UACGAAGGGGGCUAGCGUUGCUCGGAAUCACUGGGCGUAAAGCGCACGUAGGCGGACUCUUAAGUCAGGGGUGAAAUCCUGGAGCUCAACUCCAGAACUGCCUUUGAUACUGGGAGUCUUGAGUUCGGGAGAGGUGAGUGGAACUGCGAGUGUAGAGGUGAAAUUCGUAGGUAUUCGCAAGAACACCAGUGGCGAAGGCGGCUCACUGGUCCGGUACUGACGCUGAUGUGCGAAAGCGUGGGGAGCAAACAGG
This 253-nucleotide ribosomal RNA is filed under the name uncultured bacterium. RNAcentral describes it as "partial 16S ribosomal RNA". It matches the Rfam family "Bacterial small subunit ribosomal RNA", at positions 524 to 776 of the family's 1533-position model. The record is from RNAcentral.